RNAcentral lists this transfer RNA (75 nucleotides) under Wohlfahrtiimonas chitiniclastica. RNAcentral's name for it is "tRNA-Gln". It matches the Rfam family "tRNA". From Rfam's summary of the family: Transfer RNA (tRNA) molecules are approximately 80 nucleotides in length. Their secondary structure includes four short double-helical elements and three loops (D, anti-codon, and T loops). Further hydrogen bonds mediate the characteristic L-shaped molecular structure. tRNAs have two regions of fundamental functional importance: the anti-codon, which is responsible for specific mRNA codon recognition, and the 3' end, to which the tRNAs corresponding amino acid is attached (by aminoacyl-tRNA synthetases). tRNAs cope with the degeneracy of the genetic code in two manners: having more than one tRNA (with a specific anti-codon) for a particular amino acid; and 'wobble' base-pairing, i.e. permitting non-standard base-pairing at the 3rd anti-codon position. Lineage: Bacteria; Pseudomonadati; Pseudomonadota; Gammaproteobacteria; Cardiobacteriales; Ignatzschineriaceae. RNAcentral also lists the same sequence under 2 other names. The record is from RNAcentral.
UGGGCUGUAGCCAAGCGGUAAGGCAGCGGGUUUUGAUCCCGCCAUUCCCAGGUUCGAAUCCUGGCAGCCCAGCCA